RNAcentral lists this ribosomal RNA (581 nucleotides) under uncultured Gemmatimonadales bacterium. RNAcentral describes it as "bacterial SSU rRNA". It matches the Rfam family "Bacterial small subunit ribosomal RNA", at positions 337 to 917 of the family's 1533-position model. The record is from RNAcentral. Lineage: Bacteria; Pseudomonadati; Gemmatimonadota; Gemmatimonadia; Gemmatimonadales.
UCCUACGGGAGGCAGCAGUGGGGAAUCUUGCGCAAUGGUCGAAAGACUGACGCAGCGACGCCGCGUGGAGGAUGACGCCCUUCGGGGUGUAAACUCCUGUUGCCCGGGACGAACCUCCCCUUUCGAGGGGACUGACGGUACCGGGUGAGGAAGCACCGGCUAACUCUGUGCCAGCAGCCGCGGUAAUACAGAGGGUGCGAGCGUUGUCCGGAAUCACUGGGCGUAAAGGGCGCGUAGGCGGUUUCUCAAGCGUGCGGUGAAAGCUCAGGGCUCAACCCUGAGUCGGCCGUGCGAACUGGGAGACUGGAGCACGGUAGAGGCACAUGGAAUUCCGGGUGUAGCGGUGGAAUGCGUAGAGAUCCGGAAGAACACCGGUGGCGAAGGCGGUGUGCUGGGCCGUUGCUGACGCUGAGGCGCGACAGCGUGGGGAGCAAACAGGAUUAGAUACCCUGGUAGUCCACGCCGUAAACGAUGGGCACUAGGUCCUUGGGGGAGCGACCCCUUGAGGGCCGGCGCAAACGCAUUAAGUGCCCCGCCUGGGGAGUACGGCCGCAAGGCUGAAACUCAAAGGAAUUGACGGA